This 251-nucleotide ribosomal RNA is filed under the name uncultured bacterium. Its description in RNAcentral is "partial 16S ribosomal RNA". It matches the Rfam family "Bacterial small subunit ribosomal RNA", at positions 29 to 306 of the family's 1533-position model. The record is from RNAcentral.
AACGAACGCUGGCGGCAGGCUUAACACAUGCAAGUCGAACGGGUGCAGCAAUGCAUCAGUGGCAGACGGGUGAGUAACACGUGGGAACCUUCCUAGGGGUACGGAACAACUCAGGGAAACUUGAGCUAAUACCGUAUACGUCCGUAAGGAGAAAGAUUCAUCGCCCCUAGACGGGCCCGCGUCGGAUUAGGUAGUUGGUGGGGUAACGGCCUACCAAGCCUACGAUCCGUAGCUGAUCGAGAGGAUGAUCA